This 253-nucleotide ribosomal RNA is filed under the name uncultured bacterium. RNAcentral's name for it is "partial 16S ribosomal RNA". It matches the Rfam family "Bacterial small subunit ribosomal RNA", at positions 524 to 776 of the family's 1533-position model. The record is from RNAcentral.
UACGUAGGGGGCUAGCGUUGUCCGGAAUCAUUGGGCGUAAAGAGCGUGUAGGCGGCUGGGUAGGUCCGUUGUGAAAACUCGAGGCUCAACCUCGAGACGCCGAUGGAAACCCCCCAGCUAGAGUCCGGAAGAGGAGAGUGGAAUUCCUGGUGUAGCGGUGAAAUGCGCAGAUAUCAGGAAGAACACCCGUGGCUAAGGCGGCUCUCUAGUACGGUACUGACGCUGAGACGCGAAAGCGUGGGGAGCGAACAGG